AUACGGAGGGUGCAAGCGUUACUCGGAAUCACUGGGCGUAAAGCGCGCGCAGGCGGCUUGAUAAGUUGGAUGUGAAAGCCUACGGCUCAACCGUAGAACUGCAUCCAAAACUGUCAAGCUAGAGUCUGGGAGGGGAAGAUGGAAUUAGUUGUGUAGGGGUAAGAUCCGUAGAGAUAACUAGGAAUACCAAAAGCGAAGGCGAUCUUCUGGAACAGUACUGACGCUGAGGCGCGAAAGCGUGGGGAGCAAACAGGAUUAGAAACCCCAGUAGUCC
This 274-nucleotide ribosomal RNA is filed under the name uncultured bacterium. RNAcentral describes it as "partial 16S ribosomal RNA". It matches the Rfam family "Bacterial small subunit ribosomal RNA", at positions 523 to 796 of the family's 1533-position model. The record is from RNAcentral.